ACCUUCGGGCCUCUUGCCAUCAGAUGUGCCCAGAUGGGAUUAGCUUGUUGGUGAGGUAACGGCUCACCAAGGCGACGAUCCCUAGCUGGUCUGAGAGGAUGACCAGCCACACUGGAACUGAGACACGGUCCAGACUCCUACGGGAGGCAGCAGUGGGGAAUAUUGCACAAUGGGCGCAAGCCUGAUGCAGCCAUGCCGCGUGUAUGAAGAAGGCCUUCGGGUUGUAAAG
Molecule: ribosomal RNA, 229 nt
Filed under: Salmonella enterica
Lineage: Bacteria; Pseudomonadati; Pseudomonadota; Gammaproteobacteria; Enterobacterales; Enterobacteriaceae
Also listed under: 1 other name
Description: partial 16S ribosomal RNA
Rfam family: Bacterial small subunit ribosomal RNA
Source: RNAcentral